Long non-coding RNA from Magnolia sinica, 1135 nucleotides. RefSeq lists it as uncharacterized. The record is from RefSeq and is a predicted model, not a curated record. The transcript has 2 exons. Lineage: Eukaryota; Viridiplantae; Streptophyta; Magnoliopsida; Magnoliales; Magnoliaceae.
UUUUAUGUCGUUUGUAUGUUACAUGUUCAAUUCGAUAGUGCCUGUGUAUCAACCAUCACAAACUACCGGAGCAUCAAAGUCUUUCUACCGUUGAAACGCCAAAGUUUGAAUUUGAAUGAAAGUGAAUUCAUCAAUCCAGAGGAGUGAAACGCUACCGUUCUUUCAUCAUUGCAAAUUGCAAAUGGUCUACACAAACACACCACAUUCCUUUAAUUACCACGUUUUACCGCCUCUGGGAAAAAAACACAAACACCUCAUCUCACAGCUCCUAUCCUACCAUUUUGCCAGAAUCAAAGCGUCUUGAAUGGAAUCAUCUGGCAUCAAAGCAGGCAGAAACAUGGUGCUUGAGCUUUCACCUGAGGCGGCAACGGAUCCGAACACUAUUACACUGUUCGAAAAAUGGCCAUUGCAAGACAUCACCAAUAGCUUCAUCUGGGAAGCCAUAGACAACGAAGCUUUCGAGACAACAACCUCUAUAGGAAAUAGGAGGUACAAUGAUGAGAACUCAGCUGGAAAUCCGACUCGAAAGGUGAAAGGACGAACAGGGGGCACUCCGAAGGCGAUUCUUGCCCAUGGAACUGGGAAUGUUCUGAGAAAGGAAUUUAGAUAGGCAUGAUUUCAUCUCACAGUAGGGCUAGUAGAACCUGAAUAUGGUAGAGCCAUGUAGCUGCAGUAUACUUGGCAAGGAGAUUUAUCAUUCACGAUGGUCCACCUUAAGUAGACAUAAAUAAGAUGAUCCUAGCCAUCUGAUCAUUGACAUCCAAAUAUGAUAAAUAAAACCGGUUGAUGUUGAAAAAAAAAAAAAAUGAUAUCUCGGAUUGUUUGUACGUGUGAUUUUUUAUAUACAUGGGUCAUCCAUUAUAGGUCCCACUGGAUGGACAGUCCUGAUUGAUGUGUUCAUGCCACGGGGCUCUACCAUAUUCUAGUUCCAAAACUGGCUUCUAUUACACCCAUCAUUCAUUUCCCUCAAGUAUGUUAAGUAAUAGAGGUUGAUUAGAGCUUGGAAUAUUUUAUUUAUGUGUAUGAUUGCUUAUUGGAAGAGUUAUACUAUGUAAUGUAAAAGCCUGGCUGGUUUGGGUUAUUCUUCAUUUAUCAUUUGAAUCUUGAAAAUAGUUUUGAGAGGAGUUAUUUGAUA